RNAcentral lists this ribosomal RNA (497 nucleotides) under uncultured bacterium. RNAcentral's name for it is "partial 16S ribosomal RNA". It matches the Rfam family "Bacterial small subunit ribosomal RNA", at positions 28 to 507 of the family's 1533-position model. The record is from RNAcentral.
GAUGAACGCUGGCGGCGUGCCUAAUACAUGCAAGUCGAGCGAACGGACGAGAAGCUUGCUUCUCUGAUGUUAGCGGCGGACGGGUGAGUAACACGUGGAUAACCUACCUAUAAGAAUGGGAUAACUUCGGGAAACCGUAGCUAAUACCGGAUAAUAUUUUGAACCGCAUGGUUCAACAGUGAAAGACGGUCUUGCUGUCACUUAUAGAUGGAUCCGCGCUGCAUUAGCUAGUUGGUAAGGUAACGGCUUACCAAGGCAACGAUGCAUAGCCGACCUGAGAGGGUGAUCGGCCACACUGGAACUGAGACACGGUCCAGACUCCUACGGGAGGCAGCAGUAGGGAAUCUUCCGCAAUGGGCGAAAGCCUGACGGAGCAACGCCGCGAGAGUGAUGAAGGUCUUCGGCUCGUAAAACUCUGCUAUUAGGGAAGAACAUAAGUGUAAGAAACUGUGCACAUCGUGACGGUACCUAAUCAGAAAGCCACGGCUAACUACGUG